Molecule: ribosomal RNA, 402 nt
Filed under: uncultured Arcobacter sp.
Lineage: Bacteria; Pseudomonadati; Campylobacterota; Epsilonproteobacteria; Campylobacterales; Arcobacteraceae
Description: bacterial SSU rRNA
Rfam family: Bacterial small subunit ribosomal RNA
Source: RNAcentral
UGGGGAAUAUUGCACAAUGGACGAAAGUCUGAUGCAGCAACGCCGCGUGGAGGAUGACACAUUUCGGUGCGUAAACUCCUUUUAUAUGAGAAGAUAAUGACGGUAUCAUAUGAAUAAGCACCGGCUAACUCCGUGCCAGCAGCCGCGGUAAUACGGGGGGUGCAAGCGUUACUCGGAAUCACUGGGCGUAAAGAGCAUGUAGGCGGAUUGAUAAGUUUGAAGUGAAAUCCUAUAGCUUAACUAUAGAACUGCUUUGAAAACUGUUAAUCUAGAAUGUGGGAGAGGUAGAUGGAAUUUCUGGUGUAGGGGUAAAAUCCGUAGAGAUCAGAAGGAAUACCGAUUGCGAAGGCGAUCUACUGGAACACUAUUGACGCUGAGAUGCGAAAGCGUGGGGAGCAAACG